RNAcentral lists this long non-coding RNA (709 nucleotides) under Physcomitrium patens. RNAcentral's name for it is "long non-coding RNA (PPAT_LNC010789)". Lineage: Eukaryota; Viridiplantae; Streptophyta; Bryopsida; Funariales; Funariaceae. The record is from RNAcentral.
UUUAGGGUUUGAUUUAAGGUUUGGUUUAGGGUUUAGGAUUUGGAUUAGGGUUUGGAUUACGGUUUGGAUUAGGAUUUGGUUAGGGUUUGAUUUAGGGUUUCGAUUAGAGUUUGGACUAGGGUUUGGUUUGGGUUUGAUUUAAGGUUUGGUUUAGGGUUUAGGAUUUGGAUUAGAAUUUAGGGUUGGAUUAGGGUUUGGAUUAGGGUUUAGGGUUUGGUUAGGAUUUGAUUUAGGAUUUGGAUUAGGAUUUGGUUAGGAUUUGAUUUAAGGUUUGGUUUAGGAUUUAGGAUUGGAUUAGGGUUUGGUUUAGGAUUUGAUUUAGGGUUGAUUUAGGGUUUAGGAUUUGGAAUAGGAUUUAUUUUAAGAUUUAUUUAGGAUUUGACUUAGGUUUUAGGAAUUAUUAGGGUUUAAGAUUUAAUUAGGUUUGGUCUAAAGUUGAGUGAAAUUCAAUAGGGUUUUAACUAGAAUUAAACUAAGGUUGAAUUGACAUAUAUUUGAGUAAAAUUUGUAUUCAUUCUAAUAUUUCUUUAAGAAUUUUAUUGUUUGUUUGAAAUUUCUUUGAGUUGUUUUGAAUUUGAUUACGUUUGUUUAUCAUUAUUAUAGUCUAAUUAGAGCAUUGUUAGUAUUCUAUUUAGGAUUUUGUUAUCGCAAUUUCUAUUCUUCCUUCUACAGCCAGGUGCCCGGAGCAUUCUCAAGCUAGACUUCACAC